AGGGUUUGAUCCUGGCUCAGAGUGAACGCUGGCGGCGUGGAUUAGGCAUGCAAGUCGAGCGAUCCUAUUUUUAUGAUUGGAUGAACUUUCGGGGGAUUCCAUGAUUGAUUUUUUGGAUAGCGGCAAACCGGUGAGUAACACGUAGGCAACGUACCUUGAGGAGAGGCAUAGCUUCGGGAAACCGGAGGUAAUACCUCAUGUGCUCUAUGGCUGAAAUGCCAUAGAGGAAAGAUGGCCUCUAUUUAUAAGCUAUCACCUUUUGAGCGGCUUGCGCACUAUUAGAUUGUUGGUGAGGUAAUGGCUCACCAAGUCAAAGAUGGUUAGCUGGCGUAAGAGCGUGGUCAGCCACAUCGGAACUGAGACACUGUCCGGACUCCUACGGGAGGCUGCAGUCGAGAAUCUUUCCCAAUGGACGAAAGUCUGAGGAUGCGACGCCGCGUGGGGGAUGAAGGCCUUCGGGUCGUAAACUCCUUUUAUCAAGGAGGAACGCUACUUUGCGAAUAGUGAUGUAGCUUGACUGUACUUGAUGAAUAAGCCACGGCUAACUCCGUGCCAGCAGCCGCGGUAAUACGGAGGUGGCAAGCGUUACUCGGUUUGACUGGGUGUAAAGGGUCUGUAGGCGGUCAAAUAAGUGUCAGGUGAAAUCUUUCGGCUUAACCGAAAAAUUGCCUGUCAAACUAUUUGACUUGAGGUUGGAAGGGGAGAGUAGAACUGCUAGUGUAAAGGUGAAAUUUGUGGAUAUUAGCAGGAAUGCCCGUGGAGAAGUCGGCUCUCUGGUCCAAUCCUGACGCUGAAAGACGAAAGCUAGGGGAGCGAACAGGAUUAGAUACCCUGGUAGUCCUAGCCGUAAACGAUGAGCACUAGGUGUCUGUCCCUUAGGGAUGGGUGCCGUAGGUAACCUGAUAAGUGCUCCACCUGGGGACUACGGUCGCAAGACUAAAACUCAAAGGAAUUGACGGGGGCCCGCACAAGCGGUGGAACACGUGGUUUAAUUCGAUGCUACGCGAGGAACCUUACCAAGGCUUGACAUGCUAGAAGUAGUAACCCGAAAGGGUGUCCGACCGGUAUCCAGUCCGGUACUAGCACAGGUGCUGCAUGGUUGUCGUCAGCUCGUGCCGUGAGGUGUUCCCUUAAGUGGGAGAACGAGCGCAACCCUCGCCAUCUGUUGCCACCGACUUAGAUUUAUCUAAGUCGAGCACUCUGAUGGGACUGCCCGCGUUAAGUGGGAGGAAGGUGGGGACGACGUCAAAUCCGCAUGGCCCUUAUGCCUUGGGCUACACACGUGUUACAAUGCCUGGUACAAUGGGAGGCUAAGUCGUGAGAUGGAGCAAAUCCUACAAAACCAGGCCCAGUUCGGAUUGAAGGCUGAAACUCGCCUUCAUGAAGCUGGAAUCGCUAGUAAUGGCAGAUCAGCUACGCUGCCGUGAAUACGUUCCCGGGCCUUGUACACACCGCCCGUCAAGCGCUGAAAGUGGGGGGCGCCCGAAGCUCUACUUAGGUAGAACCACGGUGAACUUCAUGAUUGGCGCUAAGUCGUAACAAGGUA
This 1546-nucleotide ribosomal RNA is filed under the name metagenome. RNAcentral describes it as "bacterial SSU rRNA". It matches the Rfam family "Bacterial small subunit ribosomal RNA". The record is from RNAcentral.